This 534-nucleotide ribosomal RNA is filed under the name Prestonella bowkeri. RNAcentral's name for it is "partial 16S ribosomal RNA". The stretch from base 43 to 232 matches the Rfam family "Archaeal large subunit ribosomal RNA", at positions 1804 to 2099 of the family's 2987-position model. The record is from RNAcentral. Lineage: Eukaryota; Metazoa; Mollusca; Gastropoda; Stylommatophora; Bulimulidae.
UAUACAAAAUGAUAUAAAUUAGUAAACAUAUCAAUACAUAUAAAGGAACUCGGCAAAUAUUUACUUAGACUGUUUAACAAAAACAUAACUUAUAGCAUUUUUAUUAUAAGCUUAACCUGCUCAGUGAUUAUAAGUUUAACAGCCGCAGUACACUGACUGUGCUAAGGUAGCAUAAUCAAUUGGUCUUUAAUUGGGAUCGGGUAUGAAAGGAUUUACUAUGUAAGACUGUCUUGAUGAAGUAUAUUAUGAAUUUUCUUAAAGGGUGAAAAUUCCCUUGAGUUUAACAAAAGACGAGAAGACCCUUAGACUUUUUUAAAUAUAAAAUUAUAUUUUUAUUAUUUUGUUGGGGCGACAAUGUUUCAAUUUUAAACAAAUAGUUAAAAAUUUAGCACAGGAAAAUAAUUUUAGGAAAGAUUAAAGUACCUGAGGGAUAACAGCAUAAUUAAUUAUUUAGAUUGUGACCUCGAUGUUGGACUAGGUAAUAAACUGUCAAGAAGAUAUUUUAUUUAGUUCUGUUCGAACUAUAUUCACCUA